RNAcentral lists this ribosomal RNA (743 nucleotides) under uncultured bacterium. RNAcentral describes it as "bacterial SSU rRNA". It matches the Rfam family "Bacterial small subunit ribosomal RNA", at positions 94 to 823 of the family's 1533-position model. The record is from RNAcentral.
AGCGGCGGAUGGGUGAGUAACACGUGGGGAACCUGCCCCUAAGUCUGGGAUACCAUUUGGAAACAGGUGCUAAUACCGGAUAAUAAAGCAGAUCGCAUGAUCAGCUUUUGAAAGGCGGCGUAAGCUGUCGCUAAGGGAUGGCCCCGCGGUGCAUUAGCUAGUUGGUAAGGUAACGGCUUACCAAGGCGACGAUGCAUAGCCGAGUUGAGAGACUGAUCGGCCACAUUGGGACUGAGACACGGCCCAAACUCCUACGGGAGGCAGCAGUAGGGAAUCUUCCACAAUGGACGCAAGUCUGUUGGAGCAACGCCGCGUGAGUGAAGAAGGUUUUCGGAUCGUAAAGCUCUGUUGUUGGUGAAGAAGGAUAGAGGUAGUAACUGGCCUUUAUUUGACGGUAAUCAACCAGAAAGUCACGGCUAACUACGUGCCAGCAGCCGCGGUAAUACGUAGGUGGCAAGCGUUGUCCGGAUUUAUUGGGCGUAAAGCGAGCGCAGGCGGAAAAAUAAGUCUAAUGUGAAAGCCCUCGGCUUAACCGAGGAACUGCAUCGGAAACUGUUUUUCUUGAGUGCAGAAGAGGAGAGUGGAACUCCAUGUGUAGCGGUGGAAUGCGUAGAUAUAUGGAAGAACACCAGUGGCGAAGGCGGCUCUCUGGUCUGCAACUGACGCUGAGGCUCGAAAGCAUGGGUAGCGAACAGGAUUAGAUACCCUGGUAGUCCAUGCCGUAAACGAUGAGUGCUAAGUGU